CUAAAUAUACCAAAAUCCCUUUUACCCAUCGUUCUCAACUUCUCAUUCUCACUACUCACAGCCACGCCCAAAGACCCAAAUCCUUUGCCCAUCGUAGAUUGGCCCUUGGUCGUCGCUCUCACCUCCCGUCGCUCUCGCCGCUCGUCGUCCUUCAGCCCUUGGCCGUCGCUGCCGAUGCCCAUCCCAGAUUCUCAGUCUGGUAGUCCCCGAUCCCUACUUCCUGACUUCAUGUCUUCCUCAAUCCUCAAUCCUCAGACCUUAGGUAUGGCUAUUGACUAAUGGCUCUUUGCCUAAACUUUGAUUAUUUGAAUCAAACUAUAGAAAUUCAUUAGGGAAUAAGGAUUACUAAAUUUUGAUUGUUGUUUGACUUGUUCUUUGCCUAAAUUUGAUUGUUGUUUUACUAAAUUAGGGAAUAGAAUUCAAUAGGGAAUACUGGAAUAGGGAAUAGAAUUCAGUUAACUACUUAACUAUAUGUUUGUUUGGCAUGCUUUCACAGACAUAUAUUUAUAUUUUUGGUUAAGAUUAAAGCUUGAUGUUGAAUUGUUGAUCAGUUGAUAUUUAUGUAAGGCACAUCCAUUUUUGUUUGACAGAAAUAGAUGAUGAUAUGUUGAUGAAUUUUACAUAAUGUCUGAUGAACACAUUGAUCGUGUUAAAAGGCCUAGAUCAAAAGAUAUAAGUACAUGGUUUAGUAAAAAGAGUGCUCAAGCGGUUGAAUUUGCUGAAGCGGUUGACAAUGAGGCGGUGAUUAAUGAUUUUGAAGCUUUGGGGCCUCGUAGAGUAAAGUUUAGUUAAUUUUUAUUUAUGCGUUUAAGGGUAAGGCUUACUAUGUCCUCCUAUGUAUGUGUGUCCUUUAUUAAUUAACUAAAAUUUCUCAUAUUGUCGAACAAAAUUUUUUGUAUGCUACAAUUAGCCCAAGUGACAUUUCUCAUACUGGCUCCGCCACUGAAAAUAUCCAUACCUCAACCUAUUGUGAUCGAAUUUCUAAAAUUAAAAUUGUAAGAUUAAUUAUAAUCUCCAAAUCUAUUCCACCGCAAUAAUGCAGUUCUCUUUCUUGGAAGUGGAAACCAAGAGCUUGACCAUACCUUAAAGCCAUAACCAUGCAUAUGGGGUGAAGUACUUUAUAUAAAGGUUAAUAAACACUUAUAUAUUCAGAUAAAACACAUUUUAUUUGAAAUAUAUAUAUAUAUAUAUAUAUAUAUAUAUACAG
RNAcentral lists this long non-coding RNA (1207 nucleotides) under Fragaria vesca (wild strawberry). RNAcentral describes it as "long non-coding RNA (FVES_LNC003250)". Lineage: Eukaryota; Viridiplantae; Streptophyta; Magnoliopsida; Rosales; Rosaceae. The record is from RNAcentral.